Molecule: ribosomal RNA, 300 nt
Filed under: uncultured Oceanotoga sp.
Lineage: Bacteria; Thermotogati; Thermotogota; Thermotogae; Petrotogales; Petrotogaceae
Description: bacterial SSU rRNA
Rfam family: Bacterial small subunit ribosomal RNA
Source: RNAcentral
GGUAACGUGGGGGCAGCGGGCGCGGUAAGAAAGAGGUGGGAAACGUUGGUCGUAAGUACUGGGCAUGAAGCGCACGUAGGUGGUCUGCUAAGUCGCGUGUUAGAUGUCCCGGCUCAACCGGGGAAUGGCGCGUGAGACUGGCAGGGUAGAGGUCGGGAGGGGUGAGCGGAACUCCUGGUGGAGCGGUGAAAUGCGUAGAUAUCAGGAGGAACACCGGUGGCGAAAGCGGCUCACUGGCCCGAAUCUGACACUGAGGUGCGAAAGCUAGGGUAGCAAACGGGAUUAGAUACCCCAGUAGUC